Molecule: ribosomal RNA, 494 nt
Filed under: uncultured bacterium
Lineage: Bacteria
Description: partial 16S ribosomal RNA
Rfam family: Bacterial small subunit ribosomal RNA
Source: RNAcentral
GACGAACGCUGGCGGCGUGCUUAACACAUGCAAGUCGAACGGAAAGGCCUGCUUUCCCUUGUGGAUUGCGGGUACUCGAGUGGCGAACGGGUGAGUAACACGUGAGUGAUCUGCCCCCAACUUGGGUAUAAGCCUGGGAAACUGGGUCUAAUUCCCGAUAGGACUGCAGGGUGGUGCCUGUGGUGGAAAACGAUUUUCUAGUAGUUGGGGAUGAGCUCGCGGCCUAUCAGCUUGUUGGUGGGGUAAUGACCUACCAAGGCGGCGACGGGUAGCCGGCCUGGGAGGGUGGACGGCCACAUUGGGACUGAGAUACGGCCCAGACUCCUACGGGAGGCAGCAGUGGGGAAUAUUGCACAAUGGGCGGAAGCCUGAUGCAGCGACGCCGCGUGGGGGAUGACGGCCUUCGGGUUGUAAACUCCUUUCGACCGCGAGGAAGCCACCUGGUUGGAAGGGUGGUGACGGUAGUGGUAGAAGAAGCACCGGCUAACUACGUG